CCUACGGGAGGCAGCAGUAGGGAAUAUUGCUCAAUGGGGGAAACUCUGAAGCAGCAACGCCGCGUGAAGGAUGAAGGUCUUAGGAUUGUAAACUUCUGUUGUGAGAGAUGAUUAUGAUGGUGUCUAACCAAUAAGCACCCGCUAACUACGUGCCAGCAGCCGCGGUAAUACUGAGGGUGCAAGCAUUACUCGGAAUGACUGGUCGUAAAGCGUGCGUAGGCGGGGUAAUAAGUCAGAUGUGAAAUCCUGUCGCUUAACUCCCGAACUGCAUUUGAAACUGUUAGUCUGGAGUGUGGGAGAGGUAGGUGGAAUUCUUGGUGUAGCGGUGAAAUGCGUAGAGAUCAAGAGGAAUACCAAUUGCGAAGGCGACCUGCUGGAACAUUACUGACGCUGAGGCACGAAAGCGUGGGGAGCAAACAGGAGUAGAUACCCCAGUAGUC
RNAcentral lists this ribosomal RNA (440 nucleotides) under uncultured bacterium. Its description in RNAcentral is "partial 16S ribosomal RNA". It matches the Rfam family "Bacterial small subunit ribosomal RNA", at positions 338 to 795 of the family's 1533-position model. The record is from RNAcentral.